Molecule: ribosomal RNA, 930 nt
Filed under: Klebsiella aerogenes
Lineage: Bacteria; Pseudomonadati; Pseudomonadota; Gammaproteobacteria; Enterobacterales; Enterobacteriaceae
Description: bacterial SSU rRNA
Rfam family: Bacterial small subunit ribosomal RNA
Source: RNAcentral
UGCAAGUCGAGCGGUAACACAGAGAGCUUGCUCUCGGGUGACGAGCGGCGGACGGGUGAGUAAUGUCUGGGAAACUGCCUGAUGGAGGGGGAUAACUACUGGAAACGGUAGCUAAUACCGCAUAACGUCGCAAGACCAAAGUGGGGGACCUUCGGGCCUCAUGCCAUCAGAUGUGCCCAGAUGGGAUUAGCUAGUAGGUGGGGUAAUGGCUCACCUAGGCGACGAUCCCUAGCUGGUCUGAGAGGAUGACCAGCCACACUGGAACUGAGACACGGUCCAGACUCCUACGGGAGGCAGCAGUGGGGAAUAUUGCACAAUGGGCGCAAGCCUGAUGCAGCCAUGCCGCGUGUAUGAAGAAGGCCUUCGGGUUGUAAAGUACUUUCAGCGAGGAGGAAGGCAUUAAGGUUAAUAACCUUGGUGAUUGACGUUACUCGCAGAAGAAGCACCGGCUAACUCCGUGCCAGCAGCCGCGGUAAUACGGAGGGUGCAAGCGUUAAUCGGAAUUACUGGGCGUAAAGCGCACGCAGGCGGUCUGUCAAGUCGGAUGUGAAAUCCCCGGGCUCAACCUGGGAACUGCAUUCGAAACUGGCAGGCUAGAGUCUUGUAGAGGGGGGUAGAAUUCCAGGUGUAGCGGUGAAAUGCGUAGAGAUCUGGAGGAAUACCGGUGGCGAAGGCGGCCCCCUGGACAAAGACUGACGCUCAGGUGCGAAAGCGUGGGGAGCAAACAGGAUUAGAUACCCUGGUAGUCCACGCCGUAAACGAUGUCGACUUGGAGGUUGUGCCCUUGAGGCGUGGCUUCCGGAGCUAACGCGUUAAGUCGACCGCCUGGGGAGUACGGCCGCAAGGUUAAAACUCAAAUGAAUUGACGGGGGCCCGCACAAGCGGUGGAGCAUGUGGUUUAAUUCGAUGCAACGCGAAGAACCUUACCUA